This is a long non-coding RNA of Pezoporus flaviventris, 1182 nucleotides long. RefSeq lists it as uncharacterized. NCBI's taxonomy places the organism in Eukaryota, Metazoa, Chordata, Aves, Psittaciformes, Psittacidae. The record is from RefSeq and is a predicted model, not a curated record. The transcript has 2 exons.
AUAAAACUGGUGAAGCGUCUGGAGAACAAGAAUUAUGAGGAGCAGCUGAGGGAACUGGGGUUGUUUAGCCUGGAGAAAAGGAGGCUCAGUAGAGACCUUAUUGCUCUCUACAGUUACCUGAAAGGAGGAUGUAGUGAGGUGGGGGCCGGUCUUUUCUCCCAAGUAAUAAUCAAAAGGACAAGAGGUAACAGCCUCAAGCUGUGCCAGGGGAUGUUUAGAUUGGAUAUUAGGAAAUAUUUCCUCAAGGAGAUGGUGAUCAGGUAUUGGAACAGGCUGCCCAGGAAAGUGGUGGAGUCACCAUCCCUAAAAGUGUUCAAAAAUGGUGUAGCUGCCCUCAGUGACAUGUUUUAGUGGUGGACUUGGCAGUCUGGGGGUAAUGGUUGGACUUGAUGAUCUUAAAGGUCUUUUCCAACCUAGUUGAUUCUAUAAUUGUGAUUCUAUAAAGCAAUGAACUUCAUCUCCACUUAACCAUGACAUGACAUAAGUCACCUUCAGGAGUUUCUGGAAAUGUGUGCAGGGGGAAGGAUAGUCUGUGGAGGUGUGUUGCCAACCAACAUGUGAGCCUACCCACUGAUUUUGGAAGGACGUUAUGGGAUUUUAAUGGAAUCCAACCCGGAUGGACUGUGGUAAACUGUAUCGUAUUUGAAAAAUGAAGGUGCCCUAAAAUCAGAAAAAAAAAAAAAAAAAUAGAAAAAGAGAAGCUUCCCAGGCUGUGAAAUCUGAGAUUAAAUAUUUGUAAUAAAAAAAAUGGCUCUGUCUACAGAUGAGCCCUUCAUCAUUCAUUUUACUUUAUUCUACUCAAAUUAUGUUAAAUAAAUCUCUCAGAACACUGCUCAUUUCAGUAGCAAAGCAAAAAAAAAAAAACUUUUUGUUUUUUUCUUUUAGUGGUCUGUUCAAGGAUAAUGCAAGGGUCUCUCAGUUACAGUAAAAAGCAAAAUGGAGAUUUAGAUUAUUCCCCUUUCACUAUCUGGUUUUCUGAAGAGAAUUCCACAGGACGUUGCCUCAGUCCAAGUCAGUUUUGUAGACAAUGUAACAUGUCUUCACUGUUCUGGGAUUGAAAAAAAUUAGCCUUAGCUUCUUUUGUUUUCUAUGGUUACUGUUGUACAGAAGAAAGACUUAAACUGUAAGUAAUGUAUAUUUAAUAAAAAGAGACUUUUUGUAUGAUUUUGUGUGGAAGACAAA